AUUAUAUAGUAUAAAUAUUAAUACAUUAAUUUUCCAAAUUAAAAAUAUUAUAAAGUUUA
RNAcentral lists this transfer RNA (59 nucleotides) under Didemnum perlucidum. RNAcentral's name for it is "tRNA-Gly". Lineage: Eukaryota; Metazoa; Chordata; Ascidiacea; Aplousobranchia; Didemnidae. The record is from RNAcentral.